AUUAGACGAAUCAUCUGGAAAGAUGAAUCAAAGAAGGUAAUAAUCCUGUAGUCGAAAAUGUUGUCUCUCUUGAGUGGAUCCUGAGUACGACGGAGCACGUGAAAUUCCGUCGGAAUCUGGGAGGACCAUCUCCUAAGGCUAAAUACUCUCUAGUGACCGAUAGUGAACCAGUACCGUGAGGGAAAGGUGAAAAGCACCCCGGAAGGGGAGUGAAAUAGAACCUGAAACCGUGUGCUUACAAGUAGUCAGAGCCCGUUAAUGGGUGAUGGCGUGCCUUUUGUAGAAUGAACCGGCGAGUUACGAUUUGAUGCAAGGUUAAGCAGUAAAUGUGGAGCCGUAGCGAAAGCGAGUCUGAAUAGGGCGUUUAGUAUUUGGUCGUAGACCCGAAACCAGGUGAUCUACCCUUGGUCAGGUUGAAGUUCAGGUAACACUGAAUGGAGGACCGAACCGACUUACGUUGAAAAGUGAGCGGAUGAACUGAGGGUAGCGGAGAAAUUCCAAUCGAACCUGGAGAUAGCUGGUUCUCUCCGAAAUAGCUUUAGGGCUAGCCUCAAGUGAUGAUUAUUGGAGGUAGAGCACUGUUUGGACGAGGGGCCCCUCUCGGGUUACCGAAUUCAGACAAACUCCGAAUGCCAAUUAAUUUAACUUGGGAGUCAGAACAUGGGUGAUAAGGUCCGUGUUCGAAAGGGAAACAGCCCAGACCACCAGCUAAGGUCCCAAAAUAUAUGUUAAGUGGAAAAGGAUGUGGCGUUGCCCAGACAACUAGGAUGUUGGCUUAGAAGCAGCCAUCAUUUAAAGAGUGCGUAAUAGCUCACUAGUCGAGUGACACUGCGCCGAAAAUGUACCGGGGCUAAACAUAUUACCGAAGCUGUGGAUUGUCCUUUGGACAAUGGUAGGAGAGCGUUCUAAGGGCGUUGAAGCAUGAUCGUAAGGACAUGUGGAGCGCUUAGAAGUGAGAAUGCCGGUGUGAGUAGCGAAAGACGGGUGAGAAUCCCGUCCACCGAUUGACUAAGGUUUCCAGAGGAAGGCUCGUCCGCUCUGGGUUAGUCGGGUCCUAAGCUGAGGCCGACAGGCGUAGGCGAUGGAUAACAGGUUGAUAUUCCUGUACCACCUAUAAUCGUUUUAAUCGAUGGGGGGACGCAGUAGGAUAGGCGAAGCGUGCGAUUGGAUUGCAC
This 1175-nucleotide ribosomal RNA is filed under the name Staphylococcus aureus. Its description in RNAcentral is "partial 23S ribosomal RNA". It matches the Rfam family "Bacterial large subunit ribosomal RNA", at positions 328 to 1509 of the family's 2925-position model. The record is from RNAcentral. Lineage: Bacteria; Bacillati; Bacillota; Bacilli; Caryophanales; Staphylococcaceae.